AUACGGAGGAUCCGAGCGUUAUCCGGAUUUAUUGGGUUUAAAGGGUGCGCAGGCGGGAGAUUAAGUCGGCGGUGAAAUUUUGCAGCUCAACUGUAAAAGGGCCUUCGAAACUGGUUUCCUUGAGUGUAGAUGAAGUAGGCGGAAUUUGUGGUGUAGCGGUGAAAUGCAUAGAUAUCACGAGGAACUCCGAUUGCGCAGGCAGCUUACUAAACUACUACUGACGCUCAGGCACGAAGGCGUGGGGAUCAAACAGGAUUAGAUACCCUGGUAGUCCACGCAGUAAACGAUGAUUACUAGCUGUUUGCGAUACAAUGUAAGCGGCUGAGCGAAAGCGUUAAGUAAUCCACCUGGGGAGUACGUUCGCAAGAAUGAAACUUAAAGGAAUUGACGGGG
RNAcentral lists this ribosomal RNA (393 nucleotides) under uncultured bacterium. Its description in RNAcentral is "partial 16S ribosomal RNA". It matches the Rfam family "Bacterial small subunit ribosomal RNA", at positions 523 to 918 of the family's 1533-position model. The record is from RNAcentral.